Molecule: long non-coding RNA, 421 nt
Organism: Carya illinoinensis
Lineage: Eukaryota; Viridiplantae; Streptophyta; Magnoliopsida; Fagales; Juglandaceae
Exons: 2
Source: RefSeq, a predicted model, not a curated record
CGUUAGAUGUUACAAGCCGUGUAUGUAACGCAUGGCCUUAAUACCAUGCGUUACUUGUGCUUGUAACGCACAAGAGGGGAGGGGUCUGCCCAAGUGGGCGCCCCUCCAUCCAACAUGAACCAAGAGAUUCCUUUUCUCCCGAAGCUGCUUGUCCCCACCCGUGUUCGUUUUCCUACUCAGAGAGACCACAUCUCAACCCUGCAGGCAGGCCGCCAUGACGAAACACACACAUUUGGCACCUUUGCUCAGAUUUGGAUCACCGUUUGGUCAAGUUGGGUUAGAUCCUACCUUGUGAGGCAACGGAUCCUACUAUUAGUUCUCGGUCUCUGCCUUUCUUUACUAUUUGUCUAUCUAUGGAUCUCGUGUACAAAAAGAAUCAAAAUUUGACUGGUUUAAGGACGGAAGCUCCCGGUCUGAACCC